Molecule: ribosomal RNA, 468 nt
Filed under: uncultured bacterium
Lineage: Bacteria
Description: partial 16S ribosomal RNA
Rfam family: Bacterial small subunit ribosomal RNA
Source: RNAcentral
GACGAACGCUGGCGGCGUGCUUAACACAUGCAAGUCGAACGGAAAGGCCCUGCUUUUGUGGGGUGCUCGAGUGGCGAACGGGUGAGUAACACGUGAGUAACCUGCCCUUGACUUUGGGAUAACUUCAGGAAACUGGGGCUAAUACCGGAUAGGAGCUCCUGCUGCAUGGUGGGGGUUGGAAAGUUUCGGCGGUUGGGGAUGGACUCGCGGCUUAUCAGCUUGUUGGUGGGGUAGUGGCUUACCAAGGCUUUGACGGGUAGCCGGCCUGGGAGGGUGACCGGCCACAUUGGGACUGAGAUACGGCCCAGACUCCUACGGGAGGCAGCAGUGGGGAAUCUUGCACAAUGGGCGGAAGCCUGAUGCAGCAACGCCGCGUGCGGGAUGACGGCCUUCGGGCUGUAAACCGCUUUCGCCUGUGACGAAGCGUGAGUGACGGUAAUGGGUAAAGAAGCACCGGCUAACUACGUG